CCUCGUGGUCCGAGUUGUAAUUUGUAGAGGAUGCUUUUGGUGCGGUGCCUUCCGAGUUCCCUGGAACGGGACGCCAGAGAGGGUGAGAGCCCCGUACGGUUGGACACCUACCCUAUAUGUAGCUCCUUCGACGAGUCGAGUAGUUUGGGAAUGCUGCUCUAAAUGGGAGGUAAAUUUCUUCUAAAGCUAAAUACCGGCCAGAGACCGAUAGCGCACAAGUAGAGUGAUCGAAAGAUGAAAAGCACUUUGAAAAGAGGGUUAAAUAGCACGUGAAAUUGUUGAAAGGGAAGCGUUUGCGACCAGACCUUUUCUAGGCGGAUCAUCCGGUGUUCUCACCGGUGCACUUCGCCUGGUUUAGGCCAGCAUCGGUUUUCGUAAGAGGAUAAAGGCUCGGGGAACGUAUCUCUCUCGGGAGUGUUAUAGCCCCUUGUGUAAUACUCUUAUGGGGACCGAGGACCGCGCUUCGGCAAGGAUGCUGGCGUAAUGGUCGUCAACGACCCGUCUUGAAACACGGACCAAGGAGUCGAACAUUUGUGCGAGUGUUUGGGUAUUAAACCCUCACGCGUAAUGAAAGUGAACGGAGGUGAGAGCCCUUCGGGGUGCAUCAUCGACCGAUCCUGAUGUCUUCGGAUGGAUUUGAGUAAGAGCAUAACUGUUCGGACCCGAAAGAUGGUGAACUAUGCGUGGAUAGGGUGAAGCCAGAGGAAACUCUGGUGGAGGCUCGCAGCGGUUCUGACGUGCAAAUCGAUCGUCAAAUCUGCGCAUGGGGGCGAAAGUAUGUAUAAUCCCUUCCUUCUAUACAGGAAGCAGUAAAGGCUAACAAUAAUCUCUUUUAGGACUUAUCGAACCAUCUAGUAGCUGGUUACCGCCGAAGUUUCCCUCAGGAUAGCAGUGUUGUUUUCAGUUUUAUGAGGUAAAGCGAAUGAUUAGGGACUCGGGGGCGCUUUAUUGCCUUCAUCCAUUCUCAAACUUUAAAUAUGUAAGAAGCCCUUGUUGCUUAAUUGAACGUGGGCAUUCGAAUGUAUCAACACUAGUGGGCCAUUUUUGGUAAGCAGAACUGGCGAUGCGGGAUGAACCGAACGUGGAGUUAAGGUGCCAGAGUGGACGCUCAUCAGACACCACAAAAGGUGUUAGUACAUCUAGACAGUUGGACGGUGGCCAUGGAAGUCGGAAUCCGCUAAGGACUGUGUAACAACUCACCAACCGAAUGUACUAGCCCUGAAAAUGGAUGGCGCUCAAGCGUCUCACCCAUACUUCACCCUUAGGGUAGAAACGAUGCCCUAAGGAGUAGGCG
This 1294-nucleotide ribosomal RNA is filed under the name Hypoxylon petriniae. Its description in RNAcentral is "LSU rRNA". It matches the Rfam family "Eukaryotic large subunit ribosomal RNA", at positions 129 to 1387 of the family's 3401-position model. Lineage: Eukaryota; Fungi; Ascomycota; Sordariomycetes; Xylariales; Hypoxylaceae. The record is from RNAcentral.